AACACAUGCAAGUCGAGCGGAAACGACACUAACAAUCCUUCGGGUGCGUUAAUGGGCGUCGAGCGGCGGACGGGUGAGUAAUGCCUAGGAAAUUGCCUUGAUGUGGGGGAUAACCAUUGGAAACGAUGGCUAAUACCGCAUAAUGCCUACGGGCCAAAGAGGGGGAUCUUCGGACCUCUCGCGUCAAGAUAUGCCUAGGUGGGAUUAGCUAGUUGGUGAGGUAAUGGCUCACCAAGGCAACGAUCCCUAGCUGGUCUGAGAGGAUGAUCAGCCACACUGGAACUGAGACACGGUCCAGACUCCUACGGGAGGCAGCAGUGGGGAAUAUUGCACAAUGGGCGAAAGCCUGAUGCAGCCAUGCCGCGUGUAUGAAGAAGGCCUUCGGGUUGUAAAGUACUUUCAGUUGUGAGGAAGGGGGUAACGUUAAUAGCGUUAUCUCUUGACGUUAGCAACAGAAGAAGCACCGGCUAACUCCGUGCCAGCAGCCGCGGUAAUACGGAGGGUGCGAGCGUUAAUCGGAAUUACUGGGCGUAAAGCGCAUGCAGGUGGUUCAUUAAGUCAGAUGUGAAAGCCCGGGGCUCAACCUCGGAACUGCAUUUGAAACUGGUGAACUAGAGUGCUGUAGAGGGGGGUAGAAUUUC
This 641-nucleotide ribosomal RNA is filed under the name uncultured Vibrio sp. Its description in RNAcentral is "bacterial SSU rRNA". It matches the Rfam family "Bacterial small subunit ribosomal RNA", at positions 50 to 670 of the family's 1533-position model. Lineage: Bacteria; Pseudomonadati; Pseudomonadota; Gammaproteobacteria; Vibrionales; Vibrionaceae. The record is from RNAcentral.